CAAAGAAACUGUUAGCAUAGUGACUGCUGACGUCAUCUAACAGAACCCCCUUCAUUUAACAAUUAGGGGAGCAAAGAUGAAGUCACACCCAUCGUGAAGCUGAGGAGUGUACAGCACACCUAUCGAGGUUUGUUUUGCUUUUUAAGCAUACUAUCCUGUCUUUAUCGUGUCCUAGAAGUGACCCAUGAGAAGCCCGGAAUGGGAACACAGCACCCGGGGACACAGAGAUCCUGAUACGUCUUCCCUUCAAAGAUGGCCAUCCCACAUCCACAUCCGUGGUAGAGGAGUAAAGAUGCAACGUUGACUCGCUAGCCUAAGCCCCUGCAGCUGUGACCUCCUCUACCACCAUGGACCAAUGAACCAUAACCUUGGGUGAUGGUGAGCUGAAGUGAGCCCCCGCCCCAGGCUCUUUUGUUAGGGCAUUCUGUCACAGCGACAGAACAGAAACUAAGACAGUGGCAAACAGUGAGAAAAAUAAAAGUGGAUCAUUUCUCAA
Peromyscus leucopus (white-footed mouse) is the source of this 496-nucleotide long non-coding RNA. RefSeq lists it as uncharacterized. NCBI's taxonomy places the organism in Eukaryota, Metazoa, Chordata, Mammalia, Rodentia, Cricetidae. The record is from RefSeq and is a predicted model, not a curated record. The transcript has 2 exons.